Molecule: long non-coding RNA, 2836 nt
Organism: Mobula hypostoma (lesser devil ray)
Lineage: Eukaryota; Metazoa; Chordata; Chondrichthyes; Myliobatiformes; Myliobatidae
Exons: 3
Source: RefSeq, a predicted model, not a curated record
GUGGUUGAGCGCGCUGGCCUGGGCGGCACUGUGCCUGGAAGCACCCACGCCAAGGUGCGCACCUCCACGCCGGAGCAGCGUGCUGCGCGGGAACAGGCGCCACGUUACUAUGGUAACGGAGCCGUCGUUGGCGAGCAAGGGGCAGCCACUUAUUUUCAUUUCAACUAAUGUUCCUGGUACCCCCACUUACCUAAACCCAUUUGGAGUUAUGUGUGGACCCUGAGGAGGAUGCAGUGAAGAUAUGGAACAUAUUAAUCCAGUGGGCAGGACACAGCUAAUGGAAUGUGAAGAGGUAAUCUACUUCGAUAGAAAAAACACAAUUUUUUAAAUGAUAACACAAGGAAAUCUGCAGAUGCUGGAAAUUCAAGCAACACAUACAAAAAAUGCUAGUGAAUGCAACAGGCCAGGCAGCGUCUAUAUGAAGAGAUUUCUAUUAUCUGCAAUUUGUUACCAUGACUUUUUUUUCAAAGAUCAAAUACAAAGUUAGCAAACUGAGCACCAUUUGUUGAAGUUAUCUUUAUUUUUCAAAUAAUUCAAAUGUUUGAUCCAAGCUUUAGCAGCAGUAAACUCUAGUUUCCAUUUCAGCAAUUACGAUUCCUCAUGCUGUAUAUUGCCCACCUCCCUCCGCAAUUGAAUGCUGGACUUCUUAACAGGAAGGCCACAGUCAGUCCAUGUGGGCAGCAACAUCUCCUGUCCCAUUACACUGAGCUCUAGCGCUCCCCAAGGCUGUGUGCUCAGUCUGCUGCUGUUUGCACUGCUAAUGCAUGACUAUGUCACAGGAUCCAACUCAAACCAUGUCAUCAAGUUUGCAGAUGAGACAACAGUGGUUGGCCUUGUCAAGAACAAUGAUGAGACAGAGUAUAGAGAGGAAGUGGAGAGGCUGGUGGAUUGGUGUGAGAAGAACAACCUGAACCUGGAUGUGGAGAAGACAAAAGAAAUUAUGGACUUCAGGAAGGUGCAAACAAACCAUCCCCCUCUGCGAAUACAUGGGUCCUCUGUAGAGAGAAUUAAAUGCACCAAGUUCCUGGGAGAUCACAUCACAUGAUCUCACCUGGUCCCUUAAUAUCAGCUCCCUGAACAAGAAGGUGCAGCAGCCCCUCCACUUCCUAUGAAGAUUGAGUCAAGCAAGGCUCACAGCCCCUCAUCUUAACUGCGUUUUACAGGAGCACCAUUGGGAGUACACUGAAAAUUGCAUCUCCAUCUAAUGUGGAAGCAGUCGGGUAUCGGACUUGAAGUCCUACAAAGGACUGUGAGAACAGCUAAAAGGAUCAUGGGGUCUCCCUACCAUCCACUGGGGACAUUUAUCAGGAGUGCUGCAUACACAGGGCCCUAGGAUCCCAACUAUCCAUCCGGCGUCCUCUGACUUUCUACCAUCAGGCAGGAGACUCAGAUGCAUUGAAAACAAGAACAGUCAGGAUGAGAAGUAGUUUCUUCUCGCAGGCCAUUAGGCUUCUGAACUCCCAGCUGCAUCAUAGUCGGUAUGUCUCUGGUUAAUUUGUUCCACUCCUUACAAUAUUUAAUAUUAAUGCACCAGCUUGUUAUUUAUGUGUGAUUCAUCUGUAGAUUUUAUCGUCUUCGUAAGUUUUUCUGCAUUAUGUGUUUUAGACCCUAGUUCGAAGAAACAUCUCGUUUCUAUAUACAUUAUAUAUGUUAUAUACUGUUACAUGCCUUAAGGAGAUGUGUUUUUUUUGUCAGAAUGAUGUAAUGGUCUUUUGGCGGUCACCUGAUGUAAUUUUCCCGCCAAUGUGAGGUCACGUGAUGACAUGUGCAUCAUGGGUAUAUAAGGGUAGACCCCAGAUGAUGCAGUUAGUUUUUAGUUUGUAGAUUUCCAGGUAGAAUGUGCUGUGUCUCCGUUUCUGUUGCGUUUUUUUUUGUGACGCAGUUUCGUUUUUGAAAUGGUUGUGCAUUCUGUUGCAAGAUACAAUAUUAUUGGACUGGAAAUUUUUGGCUAGAUGUGUUGAUUUACCCUAUUCCUGUAGUAGAAGGGAGAGUGAAGACUUUAUCGAAGUACAGGACCGAAGGAUUAAGAGGAGUCAGGAUCGGUCGGCAGUUUAAUAAAGGAUCGACCUUAUUGAGUCUUCGUUGAAGGAGUAGCGACCUGCAUCGAGAUAACUCUUGCCAAAAGAGCAAAGAGUUCAUGUAAAGGUUUGCUCUCUCUAAAAGAAAUUAAGGUCAGUUGUUUUAAACCGUUUAUUUACUGCAUCGUGAAUCCUUUGGAUAGAACCGGCAGGAAAGUUGCGUCUAUGAAGAAAUCCUUCUCCAGAGAAGUCUCUCCCAAUUGAACGUAUAAAUCUGUUGAACUUUUGAAUUUACUAUUUUAAGAACUAUAUCUGACUUUAUCGCUUUAAGAACUGUUUUCGCAUUUAACGCUUUAAGAACCAGUGCCGAGUGACGAUUUGUGGAACGGCUGCAUAGAAACAUAGAAAAUAGGUGCAGGAGUAGGCCAUUCGGCCCUUCGAGCCUGCACCGCCAUUCAGUAUGAUCAUGGCUGAUCAUCCAACUCAGAACACUGUACCAGCCUUCCCCCCCCAUACCCCCGAUCCCUUUAGCCACAAGGGCCAUAUCUAAUUCCCUCUUAAAUAUAGCCAAUGAACUGUUAACGGUUAACUUCCGGUUGAAGUUUUCAUUUGUUUUUUCCUUAUUGUUUAUCCCUGUUUAAUAAAUGUUUGGUUAUUUUUAUAUAACCUGUCUCGAUUGAUAUUCAUUAUUGCCGGUUAUGUAACAAUACAUGUAAAUAGUUAAAUGACAACAAACUUCACUUGACUUGACAAUAAGGUUGCUAAUUUGUUCUGUAAAGGCUGUGGUAUUUUUAACCUGUAAUUCCCCUCUCUGUAAA